GGGCUCAGUUCGUCAGCACACACGCUAAAACUGGAACAAUACGGAGAAUAUUAGCAUGGCCCCUGUCCAAGGAUGACCUGCAAAUUCAUGAACAUUCCUUUUUCUUU
Ictidomys tridecemlineatus (thirteen-lined ground squirrel) is the source of this 107-nucleotide small nuclear RNA. The record is from Ensembl. NCBI's taxonomy places the organism in Eukaryota, Metazoa, Chordata, Mammalia, Rodentia, Sciuridae.